RNAcentral lists this ribosomal RNA (877 nucleotides) under uncultured bacterium. RNAcentral's name for it is "bacterial SSU rRNA". It matches the Rfam family "Bacterial small subunit ribosomal RNA", at positions 96 to 953 of the family's 1533-position model. The record is from RNAcentral.
UGGCAAAAGGGUGAGUAACACAUGAGCAAUUUACCCUUGAGUGGGGAACAACCUUGGGAAACCGAGGCUAAAACCGCAUAAGACCACGAUCGGGCAUCCGAUUGUGAUCAAAGGGGGGGACCGCAAGGCCUCUCGCUCGAGGAUGAGCUCGUGUCCUAUCAGCUUGUUGGUGAGGUAACGGCCCACCAAGGCUUUUGACGGGUAGCUGGUCUGAGAGGAUGGUCAGCCACAUUGGGACUGAGACACUGCCCAGACUCCUACGGGAGGCUGCAGUCGAGGAUAUUUAGCAAUGCCGGAAACGGUGACUAUGCGACGCCGCGUGUGCGAUGAAGGUCUUCGGAUCGUAAAACACUGUCGGCCGGGAGGAAUCUCUGGAGGACUAAUAGUCCUGCAGGGUGACAGUACCGGCAAAGGAAGCCACGGCUAACUCCGUGCCAGCAGCCGCGGUAAUACGGAGGUGGCAGGCGUUACUCGGAUUGAUUGGGUGUAAAGGGUGUGUAGGUGGUGAACUAAGUCGAAUGUGAAAGCCCUUGGCUUAACCAAGGAACUGCAUUCGAAACUGGUUCGCUUGAGCGUCAGAGAGGAAGAUGGAAUUCACGGUGUAACAGUGAAAUGUGUAGAUAUCGUGAGGAACACCAGUGGCGAAGGCGAUCUUCUGGCUGACUGCUGACACUGAAACACGAGAGCAAGGGGAGCAAACAGGAUUAGAUACCCUGGUAUUCCUUGCCGUAAACGAUGUACACUAGGUGUCGGGCCCUCUGGGUUCGGUGCCGCAGUUAACACAUUAAGUGUACCACCUGGGGAGUACGGUCGCAAGACUGAAACUCAAGGAAUUGACGGGGACCCGCACAAGCGGUGGAGCAUGUGGUUUAAUACG